GCAAACUUGGUCAUUUAGAGGAAGUAAAAGUCGUAACAAGGUUUCCGUAGGUGAACCUGCGGAAGGAUCAUUAUCGAGUUCUAGGGUCCCCUCCUGGGGGCCCGAACCUCCAUCCCUUGUUGCCAUAUACUCUGUUGCUUUGGCGAGCCGCAGCCUCUCCGGCUCCGCUGGAACCUGACUCUCAGGUGCCCACGCGCGUGCUCGCCAAAAGCCCCCUUAAACUUCGUUUUGAAAAUCUGUCUGAGCAAUAAAUCAAUAGCUGAAAAACUUUCAACAACGGAUCUCUUGGUUCCAGCAUCGAUGAAGAACGCAGC
Molecule: unclassified non-coding RNA, 314 nt
Filed under: uncultured fungus
Lineage: Eukaryota; Fungi
Description: partial contains small subunit ribosomal RNA, internal transcribed spacer 1, and 5.8S ribosomal RNA
Rfam family: Eukaryotic small subunit ribosomal RNA (bases 1-73)
Source: RNAcentral